AAAGCUCAAAUUUUGAAUCUGGUGCCUCUGGCAUCCGAGUUGUAAUCUAGAGAAGUGUUUUCUGCCUUGGACCACACAUAAAUUCCCUGGAAUGGGGUGUCAUAGAGGGUGAGAAUCCCGUUUGUGGUGUGGACUACCUUGGCUCUGUGAUACACUCUCAACGAGUCGAGUUGUUUGGGAAUGCAGCUCAAAAUGGGUGGUAAAUUCCAUCUAAAGCUAAAUAUUGGCGAGAGACCGAUAGCGAA
This 245-nucleotide ribosomal RNA is filed under the name Serendipita aff. vermifera sp. 2 CRJH-2017. Its description in RNAcentral is "partial 28S ribosomal RNA". It matches the Rfam family "Eukaryotic large subunit ribosomal RNA", at positions 104 to 344 of the family's 3401-position model. The record is from RNAcentral. Lineage: Eukaryota; Fungi; Basidiomycota; Agaricomycetes; Sebacinales; Serendipitaceae.